This 466-nucleotide ribosomal RNA is filed under the name uncultured bacterium. RNAcentral's name for it is "partial 16S ribosomal RNA". It matches the Rfam family "Bacterial small subunit ribosomal RNA", at positions 28 to 505 of the family's 1533-position model. The record is from RNAcentral.
GACGAACGCUGGCGGCGUGCUUAACACAUGCAAGUCGAACGGAAAGGCCCUGCUUUUGUGGGGUGCUCGAGUGGCGAACGGGUGAGUAGCACGUGAGUAACCUGCCCUUGACUUUGGGAUAACUUCAGGAAACUGGGGCUAAUACCGGAUAGGAGCUCCUGCUGCAUGGUGGGGGUUGGAAAGUUUCGGCGGUUGGGGAUGGACUCGCGGCUUAUCAGCUUGUUGGUGGGGUAGUGGCUUACCAAGGCUUUGACGGGUAGCCGGCCUGAGAGGGUGACCGGCCACAUUGGGACUGAGAUACGGCCCAGACUCCUACGGGAGGCAGCAGUGGGGAAUAUUGCACAAUGGGCGGAAGCCUGAUGCAGCAACGCCGCGUGCGGGAUGACGGCCUUCGGGUUGUAAACCGCUUUCGCCUGUGACGAAGCGUGAGUGACGGGAAUGGGUAAAGAAGCACCGGCGAACGACG